GAUGAACGCUGGCGGCGUGCCUAAUACACGCAAGUCGAGCGAACAGACGAGGAGCUUGCUCCUCUGACGUUAGCGGCGGACGGGUGAGUAACACGUGGAUAACCUACCUAUAAGACUGGGAUAACUUCGGGAAACCGGAGCUAAUACCGGAUAAUAUAUUGAACCGCAUGGUUCAAUAGUGAAAGACGGUUUUGCUGUCACUUAUAGAUGGAUCCGCGCCGCAUUAGCUAGUUGGUAAGGUAACGGCUUACCAAGGCAACGAUGCGUAGCCGACCUGAGAAGGUGAUCGGCCACACUGGAACUGAGACACGGUCCAGACUCCUACGGGAGGCAGCAGUAGGGAAUCUUCCGCAAUGGGCGAAAGCCUGACGGAGCAACGCCGCGUGAGUGAUGAAGGUCUUCGGAUCGUAAAACUCUGUUAUUAGGGAAGAACAAAUGUGUAAGUAACUAUGCACGUCUUGACGGUACCUAAUCAGAAAGCCACGGCUAACUACGUG
Molecule: ribosomal RNA, 497 nt
Filed under: uncultured bacterium
Lineage: Bacteria
Description: partial 16S ribosomal RNA
Rfam family: Bacterial small subunit ribosomal RNA
Source: RNAcentral